This 1426-nucleotide ribosomal RNA is filed under the name Lacticaseibacillus rhamnosus. Its description in RNAcentral is "bacterial SSU rRNA". It matches the Rfam family "Bacterial small subunit ribosomal RNA". Lineage: Bacteria; Bacillati; Bacillota; Bacilli; Lactobacillales; Lactobacillaceae. The record is from RNAcentral.
GCAGUCGAACGAGUUCUGAUUAUUGAAAGGUGCUUGCAUCUUGAUUUAAUUUUGAACGAGUGGCGGACGGGUGAGUAACACGUGGGUAACCUGCCCUUAAGUGGGGGAUAACAUUUGGAAACAGAUGCUAAUACCGCAUAAAUCCAAGAACCGCAUGGUUCUUGGCUGAAAGAUGGCGUAAGCUAUCGCUUUUGGAUGGACCCGCGGCGUAUUAGCUAGUUGGUGAGGUAACGGCUCACCAAGGCAAUGAUACGUAGCCGAACUGAGAGGUUGAUCGGCCACAUUGGGACUGAGACACGGCCCAAACUCCUACGGGAGGCAGCAGUAGGGAAUCUUCCACAAUGGACGCAAGUCUGAUGGAGCAACGCCGCGUGAGUGAAGAAGGCUUUCGGGUCGUAAAACUCUGUUGUUGGAGAAGAAUGGUCGGCAGAGUAACUGUUGUCGGCGUGACGGUAUCCAACCAGAAAGCCACGGCUAACUACGUGCCAGCAGCCGCGGUAAUACGUAGGUGGCAAGCGUUAUCCGGAUUUAUUGGGCGUAAAGCGAGCGCAGGCGGUUUUUUAAGUCUGAUGUGAAAGCCCUCGGCUUAACCGAGGAAGUGCAUCGGAAACUGGGAAACUUGAGUGCAGAAGAGGACAGUGGAACUCCAUGUGUAGCGGUGAAAUGCGUAGAUAUAUGGAAGAACACCAGUGGCGAAGGCGGCUGUCUGGUCUGUAACUGACGCUGAGGCUCGAAAGCAUGGGUAGCGAACAGGAUUAGAUACCCUGGUAGUCCAUGCCGUAAACGAUGAAUGCUAGGUGUUGGAGGGUUUCCGCCCUUCAGUGCCGCAGCUAACGCAUUAAGCAUUCCGCCUGGGGAGUACGACCGCAAGGUUGAAACUCAAAGGAAUUGACGGGGGCCCGCACAAGCGGUGGAGCAUGUGGUUUAAUUCGAAGCAACGCGAAGAACCUUACCAGGUCUUGACAUCUUUUGAUCACCUGAGAGAUCAGGUUUCCCCUUCGGGGGCAAAAUGACAGGUGGUGCAUGGUUGUCGUCAGCUCGUGUCGUGAGAUGUUGGGUUAAGUCCCGCAACGAGCGCAACCCUUAUGACUAGUUGCCAGCAUUUAGUUGGGCACUCUAGUAAGACUGCCGGUGACAAACCGGAGGAAGGUGGGGAUGACGUCAAAUCAUCAUGCCCCUUAUGACCUGGGCUACACACGUGCUACAAUGGAUGGUACAACGAGUUGCGAGACCGCGAGGUCAAGCUAAUCUCUUAAAGCCAUUCUCAGUUCGGACUGUAGGCUGCAACUCGCCUACACGAAGUCGGAAUCGCUAGUAAUCGCGGAUCAGCACGCCGCGGUGAAUACGUUCCCGGGCCUUGUACACACCGCCCGUCACACCAUGAGAGUUUGUAACACCCGAAGCCGGUGGCGUAACCCUUUAGCCG